AUGCGGCGCGGCGAUGGCGAAGACGACGCCAGGCACCACCGCCGGAUUCCCCGCGCCGACGAGAUCGAUGCUGCCAGGUUCCCCAUGACAAUCUGUUACAGCGACGACGACGAGGAGAUCGAUCUGAAGUCGCCGUCGGAGAUCGUAGCCCUCCACGCCGCGUGCCGCGACCGCAUCACCGAGUACGACCCCAAGAAGAGAGCCCGCGUCCUCACCCGCUUCUGCGGCGUCAACCUCGCCGGCUUCGACCUCGACAGAGAGUCCAAGGUUGGCCUCGGGCCACUGCUUGAGGAUGUAACGCCGCAGCUGUGGAAGUUCCGGGCGGAGACGUCGUACAAUGUCGUUUCCGUCAAGAUAAUCGAAUCCGAUCUGGGUUACCCGAUCAGUGUGUUCGGUACCGUUCUCGCGAGAGAUACCAUCGACUACAGAUGCGUCUAUUUGUUCAGACGCGAGCGAGACGAUCCUCAGAUCAUCAGCUCCAAGGAGGAUAUGUUAGCAUUGGUAGGUCCACGUCGAGGAUUAGUAGCAUUUGAUCAUAUACAUUUUGAGUUCAACCUGAAGGUGAAGGGUGAUCCUGAGGAUGAAGACUUUAGCAAAGGCGUAAUUGAGUCCCGUGCCUUUGACUCUGGACCCAUCACUACGAUGCUACCUAGUUGGCUCAGUACAGUGGAAUUAGUAUUUGCACCUGUUAAACAUCCGGUGGCGGCUAGCCUCCAAAUCAACAUUCUGAAUGGUCCGCCCUAUGCCCCUUUUGUUGGCAAAGUAUCUGCUGGGACUAGAAAUGCCGAGACCCAUAUUAUUCUAUAUGAUGGUAGAGCAAUGAAUUGCAGCGGAAUAUUAGUCGGAGAUGAUGGCUCCGUUCCCUUGAGUCGUAAUUUGGUAGUUAACCCUUACCUACAUGCGACGAUGAUGAAGAGUUUUUGGUCCAUGUUUGUAUUUUUGAUAAUGAUGAGGAUGAAGUCACUCAUGUUACUCUACAACACCCUGAUGAAGAGCAUGUUUGCACUCACGGUUCCUAUGAACUACAAGUGA
This 1032-nucleotide ribosomal RNA is filed under the name Triticum aestivum (bread wheat). Its description in RNAcentral is "partial small subunit ribosomal RNA". The record is from RNAcentral. Lineage: Eukaryota; Viridiplantae; Streptophyta; Magnoliopsida; Poales; Poaceae.